UACGUAGGGUGCGAGCGUUGUCCGGAAUUAUUGGGCGUAAAGAGCUCGUAGGCGGUUUGUCACGUCUGCUGUGAAAUCCCGGGGCUCAACUUCGGGUCUGCAGUGGGUACGGGCAGGCUAGAGUGCGGUAGGGGAGAUUGGAAUUCCUGGUGUAGCGGUGGAAUGCGCAGAUAUCAGGAGGAACACCGAUGGCGAAGGCAGAUCUCUGGGCCGUUACUGACGCUGAGGAGCGAAAGCGUGGGGAGCGAACAGG
RNAcentral lists this ribosomal RNA (253 nucleotides) under uncultured bacterium. RNAcentral describes it as "partial 16S ribosomal RNA". It matches the Rfam family "Bacterial small subunit ribosomal RNA", at positions 524 to 776 of the family's 1533-position model. The record is from RNAcentral.